CUCAGAUUGAACGCUGGCGGCAUGCCUUACACAUGCAAGUCGAACGGCAGCGGGGGUAGCUUGCUACCUGCCGGCGAGUGGCGAACGGGUGAGUAAUACAUCGGAACGUGCCCUGUAGUGGGGGAUAACUAGUCGAAAGACUAGCUAAUACCGCAUACGACCUGAGGGUGAAAGUGGGGGACCGCAAGGCCUCAUGCUAUAGGAGCGGCCGAUGUCUGAUUAGCUAGUUGGUGGGGUAAAGGCCCACCAAGGCGACGAUCAGUAGCUGGUCUGAGAGGACGAUCAGCCACACUGGGACUGAGACACGGCCCAGACUCCUACGGGAGGCAGCAGUGGGGAAUUUUGGACAAUGGGGGCAACCCUGAUCCAGCAAUGCCGCGUGUGUGAAGAAGGCCUUCGGGUUGUAAAGCACUUUUGUCCGGAAAGAAAUCGCUUCGGUUAAUACCUGGAGUGGAUGACGGUACCGGAAGAAUAAGGACCGGCUAACUACGUGCCAGCAGCCGCGGUAAUACGUAGGGUCCAAGCGUUAAUCGGAAUUACUGGGCGUAAAGCGUGCGCAGGCGGUUGUGCAAGACCGAUGUGAAAUCCCCGGGCUUAACCUGGGAAUUGCAUUGGUGACUGCACAGCUAGAGUGUGUCAGAGGGAGGUAGAAUUCCACGUGUAGCAGUGAAAUGCGUAGAGAUGUGGAGGAAUACCGAUGGCGGAAGGCAGCCUCC
Molecule: ribosomal RNA, 716 nt
Filed under: Ralstonia solanacearum
Lineage: Bacteria; Pseudomonadati; Pseudomonadota; Betaproteobacteria; Burkholderiales; Burkholderiaceae
Description: bacterial SSU rRNA
Rfam family: Bacterial small subunit ribosomal RNA
Source: RNAcentral